Molecule: ribosomal RNA, 194 nt
Filed under: uncultured bacterium
Lineage: Bacteria
Description: partial 16S ribosomal RNA
Rfam family: Bacterial small subunit ribosomal RNA
Source: RNAcentral
GGGGGCACGGGGGGCCUACGGGGAGGCAGCAGUGGGGAAUUGUUCGCAAUGGGCGCAAGCCUGACGGACGCAACGCCGCGUGGAGGAUGAAGGUCUUCGGAUUGUAAACUCCUGUUGCCCGGGACGAAUGGCUCCGACCUAAUACGUUGGAGUGUGACGGUACCGGGUGAGGAAGCCCCGGCUAACUCUGUGCC